This 119-nucleotide ribosomal RNA is filed under the name Elusimicrobia bacterium GWA2_69_24. The record is from RNAcentral. RNAcentral also lists the same sequence under 1 other name. Lineage: Bacteria; Pseudomonadati; Elusimicrobiota.
GCCGGUGAUUAUCCCAACAGGGUGACACCCGUUCCCAUUCCGAACACGGCAGUUAAGCCUGUCAGGGCCGAUGGUACUGGCACCCAUCUCGGUGCUGGGAGAGUAGGUCGUUGCCGGCC